RNAcentral lists this ribosomal RNA (439 nucleotides) under uncultured bacterium. RNAcentral describes it as "partial 16S ribosomal RNA". It matches the Rfam family "Bacterial small subunit ribosomal RNA", at positions 339 to 795 of the family's 1533-position model. The record is from RNAcentral.
CUACGGGUUGCUGCAGUGAGGAAUAUUGCACAAUGGGGGGAGCCCUGAUGCAGCAACGCCGCGUGGAGGAUGACGCAUUUCGGUGUGUAAACUCCUUUUAUAUGUCAAGAAAAUGACGGUAGCAUAUGAAUAAGCACCGGCUAACUCCGUGCCAGCAGCCGCGGUAAUACGGAGGGUGCAAGCGUUACUCGGAAUCACUGGGCGUAAAGGACGCGUAGGCGGGUUGGAAAGUCAGGUGUGAAAUCCUACAGCUUAACUGUAGAACUGCACUUGAAACUUCUAAUCUAGAGUAUGGGAGGGGGGGAUGGAAUUAGUGGUGUAGGGGUAAAAUCCGUAGAUAUCACUAGGAAUACCUAAAGCGAAGGCGAUCUCCUGGAACAUUACUGACGCUAAGGCGUGAAAGCGUGGGGAGCAAACAGGAUUAGAUACCCCGGUAGUC